AUUGAACGCUGGCGGCAGGCCUAACACAUGCAAGUCGAGCGAGCGGCGGACGGGUGAGUAAUGUAUUGGGACUGCCUGAUAGAGGGGGAUAACUACUGUAAAAGGUGGCUAAUACCGCUUACUAUCGGAUAACCCAUAUGGGAUUAGCUAGUAGGUGGGGUAAAGGCUCACCUAGGCGACGAUCCCUAGCUGGUCCGAGAGGAUGAUCAGCCACACUGGGACUGAGACACGGCCCAGACUCCUACGGAGGCAGCAGUGGGGAAUAUUGCACAAUGGGCGCAAGCCUGAUGCAGCCAUGCCGCGUGAAUGAAGAAGGCCUUAGGAUUGUAAAGUACUUUCAGCGGAGAGGCGUUACCCACCGAGAAAGCACCGGCUAACUCCGUGCCAGCAGCCGCGGUAAUAC
Molecule: ribosomal RNA, 403 nt
Filed under: uncultured bacterium
Lineage: Bacteria
Description: partial 16S ribosomal RNA
Rfam family: Bacterial small subunit ribosomal RNA
Source: RNAcentral